GACGAACGCUGGCGGCGUGCUUAACACAUGCAAGUCGAACGGAAAGGCCCUGCUUUUGUGGGGUGCUCGAGUGGCGAACGGGUGAGUAACACGUGAGUAACCUGCCCUUGACUUUGGGAUAACUUCAGGAAACUGGGGCUCAUACCGGAUAGGAGCUCCUGCUGCAUGGUGGGGGUUGGAAAGUUUCGGCGGUUGGGGAUGGACUUGCGGCUUAUCAGCUUGUUGGUGGGGUAGUGGCUUACCAAGGCUUUGACGGGUAGCCGGCCUGAGAGGGUGACCGGCCACAUUGGGCCUGAGAUACGGCCCAGACUCCUACGGGAGGCAGCAGUGGGGAAUAUUGCACAAUGGGCGGAAGCCUGAUGCAGCAACGCCGCGUGCGGGAUGACGGCCUUCGGGUUGUAAACCGCUUUCGCCUGUGACGAAGCGUGAGUGACGGUAAUGGGUAAAGAAGCACCGGCUAACUACGUG
Molecule: ribosomal RNA, 468 nt
Filed under: uncultured bacterium
Lineage: Bacteria
Description: partial 16S ribosomal RNA
Rfam family: Bacterial small subunit ribosomal RNA
Source: RNAcentral